This 522-nucleotide ribosomal RNA is filed under the name uncultured delta proteobacterium. Its description in RNAcentral is "bacterial SSU rRNA". It matches the Rfam family "Bacterial small subunit ribosomal RNA", at positions 384 to 896 of the family's 1533-position model. The record is from RNAcentral. Lineage: Bacteria; Deltaproteobacteria.
UGACGCAGCAACGCCGCGUGAUCGAUGAAGCUUCUAGGAGUGUAAAGAUCUGUCGUGAGGGAAGAAAAGCUUGGAUGUAAAUAAUGUUCAGGUGUGACGGUACCUUACAAGAAAGCACCGGCUAACUUCGUGCCAGCAGCCGCGGUAAUACGAGGGGUGCUAGCGUUGUCCGGAAUAACUGGGCGUAAAGGGUCCGUAGGCGUUUUGCCAAGUUGAUCGUUAAAGCCACCGGCUCAACCGGUGAUCUGCGAUCAAAACUGGUAGAAUAGAAUAUGUGAGGGGAAUGUGGAAUUCCUGGUGUAGCGGUGACAUGCGUAGAUAUCAGGAGGAACACCAAUGGCGAAGGCAGCAUUCUGGCACAAUAUUGACGCUGAGGGACGAAAGCGUGGGGAGCGAACAGGAUUAGAUACCCUGGUAGUCCACGCCGUAAACGAUGAGUACUUGGUGGUGGAGGAUUCGACCCCUUCACUAUCGGAGCUAACGCGUUAAGUACUCCGCCUGGGGACUACGGCCGCAAGGCUG